UCCCUUAGAUGUUCUCGGCCGCACACGCGCUACACUGAAAGAGGCAACGUGUUUGCCUGAUUCGAAAGAAUUGGGUAACCCCCUAAUCUCUUUCGUGCUGGGGAUUGAGGUUUGCAAUUAUCCUUCAUGAACGAGGAAUUCCCAGUAAGUGCGAGUCAUUAUCUCGCGCUGACUACGUCCCUGCCCUUUGUACACACCGCCCGUCGCUACUACCGAUUGAAUGAUUUAGUGAGGACUUCGGACUGAGUCCAAUGCGGCUUUCGGGCUGCGUUGGUAUUUCGGAAAGAUGUCCAAACUGUAUCAUUUAGAGGAAGUAAAAGUCGUAACA
RNAcentral lists this ribosomal RNA (328 nucleotides) under uncultured eukaryote. RNAcentral describes it as "partial 18S ribosomal RNA". It matches the Rfam family "Eukaryotic small subunit ribosomal RNA", at positions 1469 to 1796 of the family's 1831-position model. The record is from RNAcentral.